RNAcentral lists this ribosomal RNA (688 nucleotides) under uncultured Clostridium sp. RNAcentral's name for it is "bacterial SSU rRNA". It matches the Rfam family "Bacterial small subunit ribosomal RNA", at positions 60 to 776 of the family's 1533-position model. The record is from RNAcentral. Lineage: Bacteria; Bacillati; Bacillota; Clostridia; Eubacteriales; Clostridiaceae.
AGUCGAGCGAUCUUCUUCGGAAGGGAGCGGCGGACGGGUGAGUAACGCGUGGGUAACCUGCCCUGUACACACGGAUAACAUACCGAAAGGUAUGCUAAUACGGGAUAACAUAAGAAAGUCGCAUGGCUUUCUUAUCAAAGCUUUUGCGGUACAGGAUGGACCCGCGUCUGAUUAGCUAGUUGGUAAGGUAACGGCUUACCAAGGCGACGAUCAGUAGCCGACCUGAGAGGGUGAUCGGCCACAUUGGAACUGAGACACGGUCCAAACUCCUACGGGAGGCAGCAGUGGGGAAUAUUGCACAAUGGGCGAAAGCCUGAUGCAGCAACGCCGCGUGAGCGAUGAAGGCCUUCGGGUCGUAAAGCUCUGUCCUCAAGGAAGAUAAUGACGGUACUUGAGGAGGAAGCCCCGGCUAACUACGUGCCAGCAGCCGCGGUAAUACGUAGGGGGCUAGCGUUAUCCGGAAUUACUGGGCGUAAAGGGUGCGUAGGCGGUCUUUCAAGUCAGAAGUGAAAGGCUACGGCUCAACCGUAGUAAGCUUUUGAAACUGUAAGACUUGAGUGCAGGAGAGGAGAGUGGAAUUCCUAGUGUAGCGGUGAAAUGCGUAGAUAUUAGGAGGAACACCAGUUGCGAAGGCGGCUCUCUGGACUGUAACUGACGCUGAGGCACGAAAGCGUGGGGAGCAAACAGG